CUUCCUUUAUAUCAUACAGAUCUUGACACCGGGCUGUGUUGUCACUGUUGGCGGUCGGUAAUACCGGACAAACUGAAGCGCUGGAUUCAAGUGUUUAACCUGGUUGUCUGUGGCUCUGAAUCACUCAGUUCCUGCAGUUUGCAGGGAUGGACCGUAGUCUGGAUGGCUGACAGACAGAGAAGAGUACUGAUCACAUGACACGAUGCUAGCUCAUAACCGAUUCCUCCUCCUGGUGGUGGUGGGUGGGGCUGCGCUGGCUGUCCUCAGCCUGAGCCUCCAGUUCUUGAACCUGAUCCCCACCACACCCAUAUUGGAGGAGCGACCCUUCCAGGCGGCAGGUGGAGGCAUUGGUGUUGCUCUGGUGAAGAGCAGAAAGAGGGUGUUCCCAGUGCCUCACACCGAGGAACCCAGCCUCAUAUCUGAGGCCUACGGCUACUGCAAUACUCCCAACCGCACCGAACAAGCCUGGGAGGGUCACAGCCCUGCUGACUACAAGCUGCUGUCGGUCCAGGUGAUGAUUCGUCAUGGAGACCGCUAUCCACUGUACUCCAUCCCCAAGACCAGACGACCUGCCAUCGACUGCACCCUGUCUAUCAGCAAGAAGCCUUCCCACCCACUGAUGAAGUCCUUCAUCAGUCACAUGGACCAGGGUGGACGUGGCCACUGGGAGUCACCACUGGGCUCUGUUCCCCGUCUGCCCAACCACGGUGUCUGUGAGAUGGGAGAGCUCACACAGACAGGUGUGGUGCAGCACCUACAAAGUGGGCAGCUCCUCCACCAAGCCUACAAGCGUCAUAAUCUUCUGUCCUUUGAUUGGCUGCCACGCCAGGUUUGGGUGGAGACCACAGGUAAGAGCCGGACUCUUCAGAGUGGACUCGCCUUCCUUUACGGCUUCCUCCCAGACUUUGACUGGACGAAGGUGACUGUGCGUCACCAGUGGAGCACAUUAUUUUGUGGCUCAGCCUGUGACUGCCCUGCCAGGAGCAGGUACCUGGAGGAGGAGCAGAGGAGGCAGUACCGGCUCCGAGUGGCUGAUACUGAGCUGGAGAAGGCAUACACUGACAUGGCACGCACUUUGGGUCUGGCCACCCGCCAGCUCAGAGCUGCAAACCCUAUAGACUCCCUGCUGUGCCACCUGUGUCAUGGCCUUUCUUUCCCAUGUGUUCCCACAGAAGAUAGUGGCACCGGUGGAUGUCUGACUAUGGCACAGUUUGCCGUGAUUCGUCGUCAGCAGCUAGAUGAUGAGGUGGAUCGGAGAAGAGUAGGGUUAUAUCAUAAAUAUGCCGUCUUGGCUAUGUACCCCUACCUCAACCGAACUGCCACUAAGAUGGAGCGUGUCGCUAAAGGCAGUGAGGCAGGCAGGCAGCCUCGAGCGGGGGGCGAGGAGGUCUUCACUCUCUCCUCAGCCCACGAUGUUACAAUGGCUCCCCUACUCAGCGCCUUGGGACUGGAGCAAGCCAGGUUCCCACGUUUUGCAGCAAGAGUAGUCUUUGAACUUUGGAAGGGUCCCUCAAUGACGCCAGGGCAACCAAAGAAGAGAGUUGGCAAAGGUGAUAAGUCAAAAGCAAAAGAUGGAGAAUUGUUUAUCAGGGUGCUGUACAACGGUGAAGAUUUGACAUUUUACACCACCUUCUGUCGCUCCCAUGACCGCCACGCCAGCCAGCCCCUCUGCCCUCUGAAGAACUUCCUGUCUUUUGUCAGGAGAGAUAUGUUCAGCAUUUUCAAUACUACUUCCUACCAGGAGGCCUGCUACAGACGCCCUGAUUGACAGGUGGAGAGAAGGGGUCAAUGAGGAAGCACGCACAGUUAGCAGAUGGGUGUAUUUUCCACCUUUCUACUUUAGAAAAUGAUGCACUUUUGUGCUGUUUAUAGCAUCUUAAAUUUUCUCAUAUUUUAACUGUAGUACAAACUGACCGGCAAACACAAAUAUUGUAAUCAAAUCUUGAUCAGAGGGCUUUCUUCAAACAUGUUCAAGUUUCUUUUUUCAAAGUUGUAUAUUUUCUCAAGCAUAUCUGUAAGAGAUAAGUAAUUUCAAAGGAAGUAGUACGGCACUCGGCCACUUUAUUUCUACAUUUCAUAAAACCAUGGAAUUGUAAAAUUCCACUAUUCCCAAAGGUCUGUGAGGGGGGGAAAAAGGGAUUAUCAGGAUUAGCGAUGCUGUACUGGGUUUAUCGUUCUCUGGAAAAUAUUUUGUCUACAAUAAUCUUGUUUUACAAUAAUGGUUAUUUCUUCUUUGACACCUCCAUGUGGAUCUUUUUUAACUUUUCUGUAUUAAACUUGACUGGAGUAUGUUGUCAAGUGAGGCGUUUUUUUUUUUCUUCUUUUAAUUGUUUCACGACAGUGCAUCUGUAUUUAUCAAAUGGAUCUAAAAUCAAACUGAUCACAUUCCACUUUUUGCUUGAAGGAUACUGAAUCUAGUAAAGGUUCAUUCUGAACAGACAGACACACACUAAAGCACAUAUGGAGUAAAAUAAAUACUCAUAUUUUCAUUGCAUAUGGAUUGCUCAUGUUUAUGUGUUUGCUUAUGUGACCUGAAGAAUCCCACCAUACUUGAGCUAAUUUGAACUAUUUUGCAUAAACAAUUUCUUUUAUAAGUUGAUGGAUGUAAAUGCUGUUACAUUGGUCUAGUAUAGAUGUCCAAUUAAGUCACAUUUACCUCAAACCUGCCUUGUUCCUAAGAGUUGGUGAAGGAAACUACUAGUUAAUUGUCAGAGAAGAGCUGUUCUCCUCACAGUACCACUAGAUGGCAUAAUAGCACCACCAGUCACACUAAUCCAUUCUGGCCCAUCUGCUUCUAUCAGUUAUCCACUUUGUCAACAGUGCUGCAGUGGCAGAGCACAAUGUCAAUGCAUCUAUAUAAAUGUAAAAACCCUGAGUGCCUAUUUCCCCCACCACUGGGCAAGUCAUGUGUCAUUAUCAUUAGGAACAUAAUACAACGCUGACAAGAUAUCAAUUGUACAGCUCAUUUUCAAAAGUGCUUCAGUGCACUAUAACUGUUUUUUUUUUUUUCCUCUCAGAAUGCUCAGGAUCAGGAGAGUAUUGACUCGAAAAAUGCCGUAACAAGAUCUGUUCCAGACCUUCUCCUGGGCCAUUUCUCAUGUUAUGCCAUGACGUCAGGGUUGUUAAUGAUAGAAGCUAUCCUUACCCAGCCGGCCUGAUUCCUCUUCGUCUUGUCCUGUCCUCUCCCACCAACGCCUUUCCCCCCAGGCCCUGAAACCUCUCUGCCACCCAUGCCUCUGAUGUCAUCUCGCCAGACCCAGUUGUUGCACACACAGAAUGUCUGGCAGGGCCUGGUAGUGUGUGUGUAGAAUCCAGGGAAAAAGCCCCACCAGUGCAAAUGGAAACAGAGAUGGAAAGAAAAUGAGAUGGACAGAUGAAUGGAACAGACAUACAUACCAAAACCUGGAGAGUGAUAGAGAUGCAUACAAAUAUUCAGCAAGUCUACGACAGAGUGAGCGGCAGAGUGAAAGAGAAGGGGGAUAAAAGUGUUUGCUAAAUGGGUCAGGCCUGUCUGCCAUCCCAGGCACAGACACACAGUGUGCAGCCCCCCAGGGAAAGACCCAGACUGUACAACAUGCUGCUGAGAAGAGAGAGAGCAGAAGGAAAGAUGAAAUAAAAAUGUGAUGUAGCGGAAGGUUGCAGAUAUAUCCCAGGAAAAGGGAUGUAAAGCAAGAGAGCCAGAUGUGUCGGUUCUGAUUGGAAAGGAUCAUUUCACUUAUAUAAUGUGUUGUUGCUACUAGUCCACUUGUUUUCAGAAAUUUGUCAUUAUGAGAUUUCAAUAAAUGAGAAUGCAGCUA
Molecule: RNA transcript, 3797 nt
Organism: Monopterus albus (swamp eel)
Lineage: Eukaryota; Metazoa; Chordata; Actinopteri; Synbranchiformes; Synbranchidae
Gene: pxylp1
Gene name: 2-phosphoxylose phosphatase 1
Exons: 8
Source: RefSeq, a predicted model, not a curated record